UGAUGCAGCCAUGCCGCGUGUGUGAAGAGGGCCUUCGGGUUGUAAAGCACUUUCAGUCAGGAGGAAAGGUUAACGGUUAAUACCCGUUAGCUGUGACGUUACUGACAGAAGAAGCACCGGCUAACUCCGUGCCAGCAGCCGCGGUAAUAAUCACU
This 155-nucleotide ribosomal RNA is filed under the name uncultured Gammaproteobacteria bacterium. Its description in RNAcentral is "partial 16S ribosomal RNA". It matches the Rfam family "Bacterial small subunit ribosomal RNA", at positions 384 to 529 of the family's 1533-position model. The record is from RNAcentral. Lineage: Bacteria; Pseudomonadati; Pseudomonadota; Gammaproteobacteria.